AAUUAAUAUAAUGAAAGGAAUUAAGACAAAUCAUAAUGACCCUUAUAAUAUGGGCUAUAGACGUGCUAUAAUAAAAUAAUAAAUAAAGUUAAAUAAUAUAUUAAUAAAUAAUAUAUAAUAAAUAACAUAAAAUAUUUUAAUAUUUAAUAUAUUUUUAUAUUAUAUAUAAUAUGAAUUAUUAACUGUAAUUUGUUAAUAUGAAAUAAGAAUUGUUAGUAAUACGUAAAUUAGUAUGUUACGGUGA
RNAcentral lists this ribosomal RNA (244 nucleotides) under Naumovozyma castellii. RNAcentral describes it as "partial small subunit ribosomal RNA". The record is from RNAcentral. Lineage: Eukaryota; Fungi; Ascomycota; Saccharomycetes; Saccharomycetales; Saccharomycetaceae.